Molecule: transfer RNA, 73 nt
Filed under: Acidimicrobiia bacterium
Lineage: Bacteria; Bacillati; Actinomycetota; Acidimicrobiia
Description: tRNA-Ala
Rfam family: tRNA
About the family: Transfer RNA (tRNA) molecules are approximately 80 nucleotides in length. Their secondary structure includes four short double-helical elements and three loops (D, anti-codon, and T loops).
Source: RNAcentral
GGGGACGUAGCUCAGUUGGUAGAGCACCUGCUUUGCAAGCAGGGGGUCGUCGGUUCGAGCCCGAUCGUCUCCA